AGGGAAUCUUCCGCAAUGGACGAAAGUCUGACGGAGCAACGCCGCGUGAGUGAAGAAGGCCUUCGGGUCGUAAAACUCUGUUGCCGGGGAAGAACAAGUGCCGUUCGAACAGGGCGGCGCCUUGACGGUACCCGGCCAGAAAGCCACGGCUAGCUACGUGCCAGCAGCCGCGGUAAUACGUAGGUGGCAAGCGUUGUCCGGAAUUAUUGGGCGUAAAGCGCGCGCAGGCGGUUUCUUAAGUCUGAUGUGAAAUCUUGCGGCUCAACCGCAAGCGGUCAUUGGAAACUGGGAGGCUUGAGUGCAGAAGAGGAGAGUGGAAUUCCACGUGUAGCGGUGAAAUGUGUAGAGAUGUGGAGGAACACCAGUGGCGAAGGCGACUCUCUGGGCUGUAACUGACGCUGAGGCGCGAAAGCGUGGGGAGCAAAC
Molecule: ribosomal RNA, 426 nt
Filed under: uncultured bacterium
Lineage: Bacteria
Description: bacterial SSU rRNA
Rfam family: Bacterial small subunit ribosomal RNA
Source: RNAcentral